Non-coding RNA from Perca flavescens (yellow perch), 606 nucleotides. The record is from the annotation of a RefSeq genome assembly. NCBI's taxonomy places the organism in Eukaryota, Metazoa, Chordata, Actinopteri, Perciformes, Percidae.
AUGAAUAAUAUCUCCUCUUUGAGGAUAAAGGUUUUUGUACGGCGGCUCAAUGACUUUGUAUCACUGUGGUACACGUUCGGUGGAGGAACUAGACUGGAAUUUGGAAGUGAUGUCCGUCCCACCCUGACGGUGCUUCCCCCCUCCAGUGAGGAGCUGCUGAAGGGGAAGGCCACGCUCAUGUGCCUGGCCAACAAGGGCUUCCCCUCAGACUGGAGUCUGGCCUGGAAGGUGGACGGCAGCCGCUGUAGCAGCAGCUGGGAGGAGAGCAGGAGCCCCGGGGUGCUGGGGAAGGACGGCAAAUACAGCUGGAGCAGCACCCUGAGGCUAUCUGUAGACCAGUGGAGGAAAGCGGACUCUGUGACCUGUGAGGCCACCCAGGGCUCCCAGACUCCGCUCUCAGAGACACUGCGGAAAGACCAGUGUUCCCAGUCCUGACCUGACUCACUGGGACUCUGCUACUGGUUUCACUCUGAUACUGAUCUCAGUCUGCAACUCUCUCUCUCUGUUUAUCUCUUUCCCUCACUCACUGUCUAAUUACAUGUUUCAUUGACGUGUUGCAUGUUUUCAUUUUGAUUAUUUUAACACAAUAAAGUACUUUUCAUCAAA